CAGACAGACAGACACACGCAUGCCAAAUUGCCAAUGUCGUCUCAUCGCCGCCUUCCUCCGCCUCUCUCUCCCCUCUCCUCUUCUCUCAUCUCCCAGCGGGAACCGCGGCCGGCCCCACGCGCGGGCAUGGGCAUGGGCAUGCAUGCCGUGCCCGCACGCAAGCACUCACCCACCCACUGCGGGCGCUCGUCGAUCGCCACUUUCGGCCCCGGCUAAAUCAGGAUAUAGACCAGUGAGGGAGCGACAAGAGGCGGAGGAAGAGGAGGUGGUGCCGGUGGUCGUGCUGCUGCUGCUGCUCGUGGUGGUGGCUGUGCAGGUGCGGAGAUCGUCGAUCGAUCGCUGCGGUUCGUCGGCGGCGGUGUCGAGAUGUCGAUGGACUUCGGUGCCCCGGCGGAUGACCCCAAGGCUUUCCGCAACAUCUGCCGCGACCGGAUACUGAAGGACCUGCUUAAGCCUGACAAGGAUAAGGAGACCAAAAGCUCAUGGAAGGUUCUUAUAAUGGACAAAUUCACGGUGAAGAUCAUGGCUUAUGCUUGUAAGAUGGCGGAAAUUACCGAUGCAGGGAUUUCGCUUGUAGAAGAUCUGUUCAAGAGAAGGGAGCCAAUGCCUUCAAUGGAUGCAAUCUACUUUCUUCAGCCACUGAAAGAAAAUGUCAUAAUGCUUCUAUCUGACAUGUCUGGGAGAUGCCCACUUUACAGGAAGGCAUACAUCUUCUUCAGCUCACCGAUUCCUAAAGACUUGGUUACUUACAUAAAGAAUGACAGUAGUGUAAUACCACGCAUCGGUGCACUAAGAGAGAUGAAUUUGGAAUUCUUCACUAUUGACAUGCAGGGCUUUGUAACUGACCAUGAUACUGCCCUGAUUGAUUUAUACGGUCCAAGUGAACAAAAUUCCAAAAAGUUCAACGAUACUAUAAGCACAAUGGCUACUCGCAUUGCGACUACAUUUGCAUCAUUGAAGGAAUUUCCAUGUGUGCGGUAUCGGGCGCCAAAAGGAGAUGCUUCCACAACAACUAAAUUCGAUAUGGUUCCAAAGUGGCUUGCUACUGCUGUUUGGGAAAUUGUGUCAAAAUAUAAAUCAACUAUUCCUGAAUUUCCCCAGAAGGAGACAUGUGAACUGCUAAUUGUCGACAGGCCCAUAGAUCAGAUAGCACCUGUUAUUCAUGAAUGGACCUAUGAUGCAAUGUGCCAUGAUCUACUCGAAAUGGAUGGCAACAAAUACAUUUAUGAGGUAUCAAAGAUGGGUUCGGAACCUGAAAAGAAGGAAUCUUUAUUAGAGGAUCAUGAUCCUCUUUGGCUUGAACUUCGCCAUGCUCACAUAGCUGAUGCUAGUGAGAGGUUGUACGAAAAGAUGAACAAUUUUGUUGCCAAGAAUAAAGCAGCACAACUUUCAAGAGAUGGUGGUGAAGUCUCAACACGGGAUCUGCAGAAAAUCGUUCAAGCAUUACCCCAAUACAGUGAUCAAGUUGAGAAAUUGACGCUACAUAUAGAGAUUGCUGGAAAAAUGAACAGGUGUAUCAGGGAGUAUGGGCUCCGUGAUAUUGGGCAAUUGGAGCAGGAUUUGGUUUUUGGAGAUGCGGGAGCGAAGGAAGUCAUCAGUAUCCUCAGGUCAAAGCAGGAUAUGAGCCCAGAAAACAAAAUGAGGUUGCUGAUUAUAUAUGCAAUUGUAUAUCCAGAGAAGUUUGAAGGUGACAAAGGGGAAAAGUUGAUGCAGUUAGCGAAGCUUCCACAUGAUGAUAUGGAUAUAAUAAAUUGUUUAGGAUACUUGGAUGGUUCAAAUACAAAAAAAUCAUCAAGGACGGGUACUUUCUCUCUCAAAUUUGAUGCCCAAAAGAAGAAAAAUGCUGCCAGAACAGACAAACAAGAUGGUGAGGAAACAUGGGCUUUAUCACGUUUUUUCCCACUUAUUGAGGAGCUGAUUGAGAAACUGAGCAAGGGUGAAUUACCUCUAAAAGAGUACCCAUCUAUGAGUGAACCAAGUUCUGCUUCUGCUUCUCAAGAUGCCACACAAACUGCAUCAUCAACUGCACGACCAGCACAAAAUCCACAACCGAUGUCUAUGAGAUCAAGGAGGACACCAACAUGGGCAAAAUCUCGUAAUUCGGAUGAUUCUUCAAGUGAUUCUUCAGUCCUGAGACACGCAUCAGGUGACUUCAAGAGGCUAGGCAACCGGAUUUUUGUCUUCAUGAUUGGUGGAGCCACUAGAUCUGAACUGCGCACGGUGCACAAGCUUACAAUGAAAAUGAAGCGCGAAAUCGUCUUGGGCUCUUCUAGCAUCGAUGAUCCUCCGCAGUUUAUUUCGAAGCUGAAGUCGAUAGGUAGUGCUACCAAGACCUAGCUUGUAUGCCGAGCGAUAAAAUGAAUUCUCACCUUAUAGUACUCAGUAUAAGCUUACACAUUAUACAUACUUCACCAAUGAACAGCUCUACAUUUUACUAGGAUGUUGUCGGCUGUCACCAGCGACCCAUUGAUUAUCGUCGAACUGAUCACAGUUAUUAUUCUCUUAAUUUUUUUUUAAUUGAGGAAGUGAGCUGGCUUGUCUGGAUGUAAAAUAAGAAAUACGUACACAACGUUUUGUUUGUUAUUUGAUGUUCUUGUUGACAAACAGAUAAAGAGAGAAGUCAUUAGGAGGUUUUGUAAAAAAGGCCUAAAAUUGAUGGUUAUAUGAUAUAGAAACUGUAUUGCACGGAUCUAUAACAGAAUAUGGAUAAAAUUGAUUAUGGAGGGACACAACUUCCUUUGCUUGCUCCCAA
Zea mays is the source of this 2752-nucleotide RNA transcript. It is a transcript of the gene named probable protein transport Sec1b, with no coding region annotated. The transcript has 22 exons. The record is from RefSeq and is a predicted model, not a curated record. NCBI's taxonomy places the organism in Eukaryota, Viridiplantae, Streptophyta, Magnoliopsida, Poales, Poaceae.